GGAGGUAGUGACAAUAAAUCACAAUGCGGGACUAUCAGUCUUGCAAUUGGAUUGAGAACAAUGUACAACUCUUAUCGAUAAGCCAUUGGAGGGCAAGUCUGGUGCCAGCAGCCGCGGUAAUUCCAGCUCCAAUAGCGUAUAUUAACGUUGUUGCAGUUAAAAAGCUCGUAGUUGAAGUGUGGGUGAUCGCUGUUGUGAGACUUCGGUCUCUCGACAGUAAGUCACCCCCUUCCAGUAUCCAGUAGUGGGUAUUCAGUUACUUACUAUUGUGUGUUGGUCCUUUACUGUGAGAAAAUUAGAGUGUUCAAAGCAGGCGUUUGCUUGAAUAGAUUAGCAUGGAAUAAUAAUUGAAGGCUUUCGUGUUCGAUUUGAUUGGUUUGUUCAUGGAAGCAAGGUUAAAAGGAACAGUUGGGGGUAUUCAUAUUCACUAGUUAGAGGUGAAAUUCUCGGAUUUAUGGAAGAUGAACAAGUGCGAAAGCAUUUACCAAGGAUGUUU
RNAcentral lists this ribosomal RNA (496 nucleotides) under Blastocystis sp. RNAcentral describes it as "SSU rRNA". It matches the Rfam family "Eukaryotic small subunit ribosomal RNA", at positions 460 to 969 of the family's 1831-position model. The record is from RNAcentral. Lineage: Eukaryota; Bigyra; Opalinata; Blastocystidae.